Gallus gallus (chicken) is the source of this 299-nucleotide long non-coding RNA. RefSeq lists it as uncharacterized. The transcript has 2 exons. The record is from RefSeq and is a predicted model, not a curated record. NCBI's taxonomy places the organism in Eukaryota, Metazoa, Chordata, Aves, Galliformes, Phasianidae.
AUUCCAGGAAUGCCAUGGCAACCUUUACAGCACAAUGCUAGAAUCAAAGAGUCAUAGAGCACCCCCCAUUGGAAGGGACCCUAAAGGAUCGUUGAGUCCAACUCCUGAAUCAAGUCCUACUCCUAAGAGAGCGUGUUCUGCCCAUUACAAGAUGGAGAUGACAUUGAAAUUGUCUCCUCCUCCAGCUAAACCUUAAUGAGCAGUCGAUACAAGCCCCAAAGUGGCUCUGAGCUCUAGCAACAGAGAGAUGCCAUAAAGCAAGGGUCUAAAUCCAGGCAAACAUGAAUUUUGCAACCAAA